This is a transfer RNA of Ovis aries (sheep), 72 nucleotides long. It matches the Rfam family "tRNA". Rfam says of the family: Transfer RNA (tRNA) molecules are approximately 80 nucleotides in length. Their secondary structure includes four short double-helical elements and three loops (D, anti-codon, and T loops). Further hydrogen bonds mediate the characteristic L-shaped molecular structure. tRNAs have two regions of fundamental functional importance: the anti-codon, which is responsible for specific mRNA codon recognition, and the 3' end, to which the tRNAs corresponding amino acid is attached (by aminoacyl-tRNA synthetases). tRNAs cope with the degeneracy of the genetic code in two manners: having more than one tRNA (with a specific anti-codon) for a particular amino acid; and 'wobble' base-pairing, i.e. permitting non-standard base-pairing at the 3rd anti-codon position. Lineage: Eukaryota; Metazoa; Chordata; Mammalia; Artiodactyla; Bovidae. The record is from Rfam.
UCCCUGCUGGCUAAGAUGGUAAAGAAUCUGCCUGCAGUGCAGGAAACCUGGGUUCAAUCCCUAGGUCAGGAC